Molecule: ribosomal RNA, 274 nt
Filed under: uncultured bacterium
Lineage: Bacteria
Description: partial 16S ribosomal RNA
Rfam family: Bacterial small subunit ribosomal RNA
Source: RNAcentral
AUACGAAGGGGGCUAGCGUUGUUCGGAAUUACUGGGCGUAAAGCGCGCGUAGGCGGACUGAUCAGUUGGGGGUGAAAUCCCAGGGCUUAACCCUGGAACUGCCUCCAAUACUGUCAGUCUUGAGUUCGGGAGAGGUGAGUGGAAUUCCUAGUGUAGAGGUGAAAUUCGUUGAUAUUAGGAAGAACACCAGUGGCGAAGGCGGCUCACUGGCCCGAUACUGACGCUGAGGCGCGAAAGCGUGGGGAGCAAACAGGAUUAGAAACCCUAGUAGUCC